RNAcentral lists this small RNA (71 nucleotides) under Albimonas pacifica. RNAcentral's name for it is "Makes More Granules Regulator RNA (mmgR)". It matches the Rfam family "Makes More Granules Regulator RNA (mmgR)". Rfam says of the family: SuhB later renamed mmgR (makes more granules regulator) was a putative non-coding RNA found multiple times in the Agrobacterium tumefaciens genome and related alpha-proteobacteria. Other non-coding RNAs uncovered in the same analysis include: speF, ybhL, metA, and serC. The record is from Rfam by way of RNAcentral. Lineage: Bacteria; Pseudomonadati; Pseudomonadota; Alphaproteobacteria; Rhodobacterales; Paracoccaceae.
CGCCACCGCCCUUCUGGGCGUUUCCUCCCUAGACUUGGGCCGCGUUCGCGCGGCCCUUUUUUUUCGCCCAG